This is a non-coding RNA of Doryrhamphus excisus (bluestripe pipefish), 3417 nucleotides long. NCBI's taxonomy places the organism in Eukaryota, Metazoa, Chordata, Actinopteri, Syngnathiformes, Syngnathidae. The record is from RefSeq and is a predicted model, not a curated record.
CCUCCACCGUAGCCAGAAAAUGGUGAAGCCUGAUGAUGUAAUGAGAAUCAGGUGGUGUCCCAUUUCUUAGCGGCUUCUUCCACUUGGCCCUCAGAUUUAAGGGGUAGAGGAAGGGAUUCAGACGGAUUCAUUGUCUGAUACAGCACUGUUAUUAUACUCCCACUAAUGUGUGCUAAACGCACCCUUGGUUUAUAUUACCAACCUAGCUUCCAUGGUCAUUAAUCAUCAUUGUAAUGACUUAGUUUCACCGCUAGAGGGGUUUAGAGCCCAGACAGACACCCUUGACGUGCUGCUGCUGUAGUAGGAAGUAGCACUAGAUGUGGAAUCAAUGUACCCAGGAACAAAGUUCAGGAGUUCCCAUUCCAGACUGUCCUGUGCUGUGCCGGACUGGCCCGCCUGGUGUAAACCUGAAGGUAUACGGCGGGGGUCUUCAAUUAAAAUUGAAGGCGCCAGUCCCGAGUGUACCCCGCCUCUCGCCCAAAGUAAGCUGGGGUAGGCUUCAGCACGCCCUUACGACCCCCCCCCCCCCGCAUAGAAAACGAAUGGAUGGACAAACAUCGGCAUCGGAACUUGUUUGGCACCAGAGUAAACAUACCAGCACAGCUCGGAAUGACAGUUAAGACGGCGGACCACCCCUUCCUACCCCCCCCCCCCCCCUCCCCACUCCACCCUCCAGCCUGUCGCCACCGACCCGAUCCAAACACAACGUGGGUGCAGACAGAGCGGCAGGCCGGAGGUGACAUCGCUCGUUAUUCCUCCUUGUGAGCAAAACACGGAGAGAAGCGGCGACGACAACCUUUGGACCACCGAGGUGGUCCGAGGACACGUCAGAGACCAGGACGUCAUAAAAGUCCGGAUUUAUUCUGGAAAGGAAAGAAACUGUACAAUCAUCACAAAGCCAAUUCCACUCACUGGUGUCACUGUCCCUUUAAGAAGAGGAAAGGAACAACAUAUGACCUUUUUUGGUUGGUGGGCGGGGCCUCCAUGAAAACAAACGUCCAAGAUUCCAAGCCAUAAAAUGUCUUGAUACUCAACACAAAGGACGGCAACAACAAAAAAGCUUUUGGAAAACAUUUGGAAAUUCCCACAGAUGUGGGUAGUUAUCGGGAAGAAAAAACAAUCGUUCCAAACGAUCUGAAAGCUUUUUAUUUGCUUUCUUGAGUUACAAGACAAAAACGUUUAGGCUGCAGGGAAGGGAAUGUCGCUUGUGGACAGAAUCUCAGCUUCCAUGCGGGGACGGCUUCGUGCAAAGCUUAAGACCAAAAUAACUCGGUGAAAUCACCGCUUGUGAUCGUAUUUGAUGAAAACAUCUGAUGUUAGCCGUGUGCUAGCUAGCUAGCUAGCUCAGUGUGUGUGUUUACAUAAGUGCUUCAUCAAGUCUUUUAUUUCUUUUGCGGCAAACUCAAAAAGUUUGUUCCUGGCGCUUUAGUGCAAAAUAUUCUCCGUCCUGAGGGCCCCAAGGGAAGAUUUUUUAUUUUUUAAUGAUUUGUCUAUGAAUUUAGUAGGAAAUCAUACAAAAAUGAUGUAAUGUGCUUGGUACCAAACAUUCCACAAAGAUUGCAGAAACAGAACAGAACCUCUGUUUAUGUUUUUAAUGCCCAAAAUAUGUAAAUCUAAUUCAUCUGUUCCAGAUACCCAUAAAUAUGAACUAAAAUAUUUUUUAUAAGGAAUAAUAAUUGCAAAAAUAAUUGCAAAAGAGGAAUGGGUGGAAGAUAUUCUUGUACAUUCUGCCGAGGGGGAAUUGAAUGAUGUUUCUCACCUCCUUUAUCAAAGUGCUGGGACCUCGUUUGGCCCCGUGGUGGGUUAUACAGCAGCUGUACUCCAUAAAAAAACAGCGAGUCAGCAACAUUUAGGGUGCUUUGGUGGGCACGCCAUUUCCUAGCACAGGGUAAGGGACCAGUUCAGGUGCAAAACAGUCAAAAAAAAAAAAAAAUUGGCAAAGAUUUUAGACAAAAACAGAAUGAUAUGAUAACUGGGGAGUACAAAAAUAACCUUCCAAAAAAAGUUUUUAUGCCCAUUUUAAAAAUGUUGACCACAGUUUGACCCUGGAACAGAUUAUUACUAAAUAAUUUAUUCAUUCAUUUUCUACCGCUUUUCCUCACGAGAGUUGCAGGGGGGUGCUGGAGCCUAUCCCAGCUGUCUUUGGGCGAGAGGCAGGGUACGCCCUGGACUGGUGGCCAGCCAAUCACAGGGCACAUAUAGACAAACAACCAUUCACACUCACAUUCAUACCUAUGGACAAUUUGGAGUGGCCAAUUAACCUCGCAUGUUUUUGGAAUGUGGGAGGAAACCGGAGUACCCGGAGAAAACCCACGCAUCCACGGGGAGAACAUGCAAACUCCACACAGAGAUGGCCGAGGGUGGAAUUGAACCCUGGUCUCCUAGCUGCGAGGUCUGCGCGCUAACCACUCGACCACCGUGCCGCCCGGAUUGGAAGUUCUAAAUAGUAAAAGUGAAGCAACCUCCUGGAUGCAUACUAAUUAUGCUAAUUAGAUUAGAAAUAUUACUAAAAUGGGUAAAUAUGGAAUGCCGGAUGAGACAAAUAGUAAAAAAGAAAUAAAAUGCACAAUUUUCUGUGGAAAAUCCUACUAAAUUCAGAUUUUUUUGGAAUACUGAAUGUGCAAGAUGGGACAAAUGUUACAAAAAUGAGAAGCCCUAAAAUCGCUAGCAUUGAUAUCGAUAUCGGCCGAUUUCACUCAUGUAUCAUCAGUAUCGGCAGCAUAAAACCCUGAUGGGAACGUCCUUAGUAAAAAAAAUAGUAAAAAAUGAACCUUUUUGUCACCUGAAAAUUGUGAAUGAAUUUUCAUCCAAAAUCCUUCUAAGCGAUUUGCUGACAAAGUUCUGAAAGUAGCGUCGUCGGAGAACGAUAAGAUGGAAGCAAAUUGGUAUCACUUCAAUGUUUUUAAUAGAAAUUCCACCAUUUUUGUAUAAAAUGUGCUGGAAGCGACGUCAUAGAGGAUAUGACAAAGACUUUUUUUUAUUUUUACAAAUUGCACAUAACUUUUUGCACAAAAUCCUACUGAAUUCAUUUUUCCGAAUAUGAAAUGUUCUAGCAGCGACGUAACAGAGGAUGACACAGAUGGUAAAAAGAGACGUCCAAGUCCGCUAAAAAAAUGGAAAAUUCUUUUUUUUUUUUAAAAAAAGAAAUUGCACUCAUUUUUGUACAAAAUGCUACUAAAUUCAUUUUGAAUAAGAAUAGGUUGAAUAAGGUUGUGUUGCCAGUUAUGAGCCAAUCAGGCGAGAGGAUGAGGUCAUGUGAUGUCUUUCAUGGAGGAUGACCAAUAAGUGCUUCGAUAAAUCUUAACUACGAAGAUGAAAAAGGACAAGAAGAGGCGAGCGUCAAACACUCGGACAAACUUUCACAAAGUCGUCUCUUUUACGGAAGCGAAUCCAGAAGAUCCGAGGGGGUCGGGAAUG